RNAcentral lists this transfer RNA (77 nucleotides) under Acropora cervicornis. RNAcentral describes it as "tRNA-Thr". The stretch from base 19 to 70 matches the Rfam family "tRNA", at positions 10 to 63 of the family's 71-position model. Rfam says of the family: Transfer RNA (tRNA) molecules are approximately 80 nucleotides in length. Their secondary structure includes four short double-helical elements and three loops (D, anti-codon, and T loops). The record is from RNAcentral. Lineage: Eukaryota; Metazoa; Cnidaria; Anthozoa; Scleractinia; Acroporidae.
GCCAUACCAAACAAAUCUGCUGGUUAAAGUACCUGUCUAGUAAACAGGAGGUCAUGGGUUCAACUCCCAUCAGUGCU